Molecule: ribosomal RNA, 434 nt
Filed under: uncultured bacterium
Lineage: Bacteria
Description: partial 16S ribosomal RNA
Rfam family: Bacterial small subunit ribosomal RNA
Source: RNAcentral
AGCGAACGCUGGCGGCAGGCCUUACACAUGCAAGUCGAACGACCCUUUCGGGGUUAGUGUCGGACGGGUGAGUAACACGUGGGAACGUGCCUUUAGGUUCGGCAUAACUCCGGGAAACUUGUGCUAAUACCGAAUGUGACCUUCGGGGGGAAGAUUAAUCGCCUUUAGAGCGGCCGGCGUCUGAUUAGCUAGUUGGUUGCGGUAAUGGCUCACCAAAGCGACGAUCAGUAGCUGGUCAGAGAGGAUGAUCAGCGACAUUGGGAGGGAGACACGGCCGAAAAUCUUACGGGAGGCAGGAAUGGGUGAUCUUGCGCAAUGGGCGAAAGCAUGACGCAGCCAGGCCGGGUGAAUGAUGAAGGUCGGAGAAAUGUAAAAUGCUUUCACCGGGGACGAUAAUGACGGUACCCGAAGAAGAAGCCCCGGCUAACUUCGUG